Molecule: transfer RNA, 62 nt
Filed under: Urocitellus parryii (Arctic ground squirrel)
Lineage: Eukaryota; Metazoa; Chordata; Mammalia; Rodentia; Sciuridae
Also listed under: 1 other name
Description: Spermophilus parryii (Arctic ground squirrel) tRNA
Rfam family: tRNA
About the family: Transfer RNA (tRNA) molecules are approximately 80 nucleotides in length.
Source: Rfam by way of RNAcentral
GGGAUUAUGGCUCAGUGGUAGAGCACUCGCCUAGCAUGUGAGAGGCACUGGGUUUGAUCCUC